Cavia porcellus (domestic guinea pig) is the source of this 7851-nucleotide long non-coding RNA. RefSeq lists it as uncharacterized. The record is from RefSeq and is a predicted model, not a curated record. Lineage: Eukaryota; Metazoa; Chordata; Mammalia; Rodentia; Caviidae. The transcript is spliced from 2 exons.
GGAGGGACGGAGAAAGCGGGGCGGCGCCGGUCCGCCGCUGACUCCAGCCGGGAGAGGCACCGCCCCCAGCCCGAGACCCUCCCGGAACCCUCGCGCCACCCGCGGCCGGGAGCGGGAUCCUGUCUUUGGAGCUCGGGCGGCGCUUUCUUUGGCUGGGAGUACGUGCGCUCUGAACCGCGACUUUGCGUUUAGGCGCGGAGUCCCGGUGCCCUAGCUCCCGGGAGCGUGAACCCGGUCCCGCAUGGUUGCCUCUCACCUGCGCCUCUGCCCCUGCCUGGAGGUUUUCCCUGGAACCGCGCGGCCUGGUGCCAGAACUAGAGAGCUGGUCUGAACCACACCACCAAAAAACGUGAGUUCUAAACGCAGACGGAGAGCUAGCCGGCCCCCUCCAGUCUGAAGUUGUUUUCAAUUCCGAGAGGUCGGGCAGGGGGCGCCCCUUCUUGGGUGAGCGUCCAACGCUUUGAAACUCAAUCCCUGAGAAAAGCCAAUGGUUCCGGUGUCUAGUGUCUGGGAAACCAGCUAAGACAAAGGCGCCUCCUGCUGGGAAUCCACUGCGUCCAGGAUGAACGUACUCAGCCUAAUUGUGAUCAAGUUCACUGCCCAGUGAUGGAUUCUGGAGGACUGCACGAAUCCAUGGAGACACGGUGUCCACGUGUGUCCCCUAGGACCUAGGUAGUUUUUCCAUUGUUGCUUCUUUAAACCGGAAGAGUAGAAGUUCAAGAGGUCCCUGCUGGCCACCGAACAGCUAAUUGGGAACUCAUUUUAUGAUAUGGAGGUGGCAGAGGCAUUUGGGAAACGUCUCCCUAUGACAAUGGUAACUUCUAUUUCUGACAUCUUUACUAGGAACGAAGCCAAUACGGCCAUACACUUCCCCUGAGCCUUAUCAUUUAAUCCUCAUAACAACCCCAAAGGCAGUUAUUAAUUAUGCCCACUUUCCAGAAAUCAAAGCAGAGGCUCAUGGGAGUGACAUUCUUUGCAGUGUUACACAGCUGGAAAGUAUUCGCAUCCAGAUGCAAGUUGUCUACUCUAGAGCAUGUGUUGUACCUGCCAUAAAAUAAUUCCCCUUGGGCACAAUCUUACUACCUUGCAGGGUAGACAGUCCCCAUGCCUGCAGGUGCUUAAUAGUAUUUGUUGAGUGAAAUAAGCCCCAAAUAAUUACACAUUAUUUUCAAGAAUAAAGGGAACACUUUGUGUUGGCAGCUGCCUGUCAUGACAUUGCUCCCGUUUCACAGCUGUGUGUGCCCAAAGUUCAGACAAUGAGUUUGGGUACUUUCCCAGGCUCCAAAGUAGAGAUGGGAGACAGUCACGUAACAUUCAGAUAUGACCGAAUAUCUGGUUUUCCUUUCUCUCUGCGAGACCCACUUGGGAAAGGCUCAGGCAGAGCAGGAUCAUUCUAGCAGCUGCUUCAGCCUCGAACCUGGAAGCCAAGCUGGUAAUUUUCCAUGCGAGGAUCCAACCUCAGAUCAGACCCACCCACCCCCACACUGCCACAAACCCAGCUGGGCAGGGCCUGGCUAUCUCAGAAAAUCAUCUCCCAGUGUUCCAUAAGCAGGCCCGCCCUGGUUAAUCUGGGAGAGGAGAAAUUCACAGACAGCUGAGCCGCAGGCAAGUCUGAGAAGCUAGCAAAAGACGCCUCUCCCAUCCUCUCCUGCAGGUCCCGCUCCUUUUAUUAUCUCUGAAUUACCCUGUUCUCCAUAUCCUGUCAAAGAGGCUGGCUUUAAGUUACCUGCCAACUUUUGCCACUUAAAUGUCAGUUUACAAGGGUCUGAGAUUUAUCACUGGGAAAAGAUCCAAAGAAAUGAAUCUCAAAUGGUGGUGUUUCUAUUAAGCAUUGUCCUGGGUGGGGGGUAGAUGACAGUUACCAUUUACUGGUCUCCAGGGUUGAGUGCAUUGCAUACAUGUGCUAGCUGAUCCUCACACCAGCCCUAGAAAGAAGACUUUAUUUUUCCAGUUUCCCAGGUGAGGCCAGAUGUGCUAGCAAGUGAUGGAGCCAGGAUUUGUGUCCCUCUCCCCAGAACCUGAUCCCUUACACGGAGGACGGAUUGUAGAUGGGAAUGAGCUCCAGAGCCUGAGAAGGGGCUUGUCCUGAGUUGUCCCAGUGGGCCCGAUCGAGUCACAGGGAGGGUCAGAGUCACAUCUCAGAUGUGACAAUGGAAACAGGAGUCAGAAUGAUGAGGGGGCUGGGAAGGGGGCGAUUAGCCAGGAAGGGGACCCCGGGAGCGGGGCAGUGGGGCAGGUUGGAGCAUCCACUGGGAGCAAGUCCUGCCCACACCUUGCUUUUAAGCCUAAGGAGACCCAGCUUUGGCUUCUGCCCUCCAGAAUUGUUAAGAUAAAUGGAUCUGUGUUGUUCUGCACCAUAAGCUCUGGGGUAAUUUGUCUCAAUAGCCAUAGGAAAUAAAUCCAUCCUGCAGACUCAGGCCGACUGGUGGGCUGUCUAGUCUAAGGCUCUCGAGAGGCACCACAGUCCAGCCUGCAUCAUGGAUUUAGAAGGAACGCAGACUAAUGAGAGCUGUCUUUGGAUUCUGGCUCUUCUGCCUUCUGUGAGCUGUGUGACCUUGGGAAGAGGUCUUGUUUUCCCUGAGCCUCAGUUUUUCCACCUGGAAAAACAGUAAUACUAGUAAGACCUACUUUGCUGGGUCAAUAUGAGGACUUGGUAAAGCCCAGGGUUAAGGAUGCCCCCAGCAUGGAGAUGGGGACCUCAACUCACCCACCCACAGAGUAGGUUGUAGGUUCUCUGACUGUUUUGAUGGAAAGAGAAUUUUCAAGAUGCAUCAAGAACAGACACAAAAAGGAUUUCCAAGGCAGAGUGAGAGAGUGCCGACUCAUGAGAGUUCCGUCUGGGGUUAGGGUUUAGGUGGUCUUGGGGUGUCUUGAGGCACUAGAUCUAGGAUCUGGACAUCUAGGAUGUGUGUUCCUAGUGUCUGUUUGGUGUGCAAACCACGUACGGGCACCCAAAGUCUAGAGCUGCGAUGCCCAAGUAGGAGUGUAGCUUCCUCCAGUUGGGGUCUGCGGGCUGCAACACACGCCUGCCUGAUGUUCGGGCUUAGGGAUUUUUCCCGUUUGGAAUGAGUUGCACUGACAGGCUAAAAGCAUUGGUCUUAGCUAACUGUGUGCACUGAAGCUGUUUUUAAAUUACAAUUUUCCUUGUCUCCUUCCUACUUUUCUUACCUGUAGUCUGCAGCACCAGUGGUAUCAUUAACUGAGAAAUUAGAUUACAUGUGAUGCUCCGUAUGUGAUGUUUUAAAAAGAUGUAGAAGGGGCUGGGGAUUUAGCUCAGUGGCAUAAGCACCUGCCUUGCAAGCAGGCGGUCGUGAGUUCGAUCCCUGGUACCGAUAAAAAAGAAAAAGACAAACAAAGAAAUUAAAAAAGAUGUAGACCCGUGUAGAGUUGAUUAUGCAUGGAGAGCCUAUGGGAAGAGGGUACCCGAGGAACUGACUCGUGUUUCUGUAUAUGUGCAUUGUGGUGGGGGAGAGGGUGAAAAAUAAUUACAGUUACCAAGAAAAAUGUGUUACUUGAAGAAAUUUAGGUUGGCCAGGAACCACCUUGCCAGGGACCCCCCUUGUCUCUUAUUGUCUGCCCCUGUGGCUUCCCUAGAUUGCUGUCCCCUCUGUCACCCGCUGCUCCAUUCUCUUGGGAGUGCCAGCUCCUUCCCACUUACUCUGCAUUUAGGCUCGAUGUGGACUCAAAUCUGAAUCCAACAGGAGCUGAGCAGAGACAUCUCAGCUGCGUGAGCUAAAGUCAGCAGCAAAUCACACAACGCCCUUGCGAUCUGGCCCUGACUGAAUGCCUCGCCUGACGGGCUGGCCAGGGGCAUACCCUGCGUGUGGGUUCCCGGAUGACUGAUUCCGCCUAACCUGAUCCCAAAGGCUGAGUCAGGUCUGCGUGGCAGAGAAAAUUAUGCUUUUUUAAUAGAUUUUUUUUAUAGAGCAAAAUUGGGUGGUGGGACCAUUAAUUUAAAAGGAACAGUUUUAGUCCCGUUUUCUGAAAAUUUUUAAAUUCCAGAACUACAUCCCUAGGGGCUGAGAUCUCAGUGCAUCAGGGCAAGGUAGAUGCUCCAGACAGCCUGGAAGGAAGCUCGUGGGGCCAUGGUAGCCAAAGGCUCCGGGUACAGGUCCUCGAGACCCUGAGUGAUAGAGAACCAGGUCUCCAGAUCUCUUGUGUCGUGGCUUGUGGAACUGAUACUGGGGAAUGAAACUCCCAACCUACUAUGUCUGCGAGUUCGUGUUCUCUAAAACUGAAUGAAUUUUAGGAACAAUGGAGAUUAAGAGUAGAAUAUAUUUAUCAAGAGAAGGAAAGCUUCUGCCUGAGAGAGACAGAAGGGGUCCUGAGUGGGACUCUGUCUUUUCUAGGGACUUUACAGAGUAAAACCAUAGGUUUAAGGGGGUGGGCUGGGAACUCACAAGGCAGAUGGGCAUAAGGUGGGACAUAACUGUAGUUAGCCAAUAAGAUCAACAGUUCAGGUAAAAUUGAUUACAUUAGGAACAAAUGGGGAAGUGAGUCCCGUAGAAAUCAGGCAUUCUUAAGGAUGGGAUGGUGACUCCAGGCUUCCGCAGGGUGAUAGGGAACUAUUUAGGGUAUCAAUCCUCAGGACAUGAGUGCAUUUGUUUGGUCUUUUGUCUUGAGGCCUGGUCCACAGCAGGAGCUGUCUGUCCCUCGGUGUUCACCCCCACAGUUGCCAGAUAUCUGAGCUUUGCAUUUGCUCCUUUGAGGCCCUCGCCCUGUCUCACUGCCUAUAAUAUCUCUAACUAACUCAGCUGCCUGCAACAAAACCUCCCCUUGCCCCCAAGCCUGAUGAUCAUGGAAAUUCGCCCACCAUUCUUCCAUUCCGGAAAUGUGCAGCGCAGAUCUGACUGAGACCUGGCUCCCGUUGUCCCCAACGCCAAGGGCGGCCUCCUUGAUAAGGACUCAGAGGACUUCAAGAGUGGUGGAGCAUCCUGAGCUGCUCAAGCUCUUACCCAUCCUGCAAGCCAAUUGCCCCACACCCUUUCUUCCUGUAAGUUUUUUUCCUUGGUGGUGAAACCUUUCCUGCCACUCCCAGGAAGCUUUCUUUGUGUCACCUGUAGUGGAAUGGGUCACACGCUCCUCCCACGCGAGGCCCCUGGAGGUUGCUGUAGACAAUCGGGAUUCACCUGGAGUUGCAGGGAGUGGCACAGAUGCCUAACCCUGGAGUCUUUACCAUGAGGAAGAAUGCCAGUGACUGUCAGUGCCCACCAGCACCCACCCAGGCACCAGCAGGCUCAGGGAGGCCACACGCAGCGGGGUGCAUGUGGAGACAUGCAAAUGCUGCCACCUUUCCCUUUGAAGACUGGAGAAGCACCUGAGAAGGAAGCCCGGAGGCCACCUGGCUGCCCUGACCCCUGCCAGUUAGCAACUGCACGGAAAUCACCUGCAGCAAGUGAGGGCCCCUUGACUACAAAGAAACCCACUCUUAAAGAGAUGUAAAUGACCAGGAGCCAGGUGUGGUGGCACCUGUGUGUAAUUUUGACACUCUGGGAGGCUAAGGUAGGAGGAUUGCAAGUUGGAGCGCAACCUGGACAACCCAGUGGGACCUGUUUCAAAAUUUAAAAAAAUUAAUGAAAAGGCUGGGGAUGUAGCUCAGUGCAAAGACCCUGGGUUCAAGCCCAAUAAGCUCCCUUCCCAGAGAUAAAACAUUGAAAAAAACCAAAAACACAACAGAUAACAACAGUAAUAGCAGCCAACAUUCCUACAGUACUACCAGCCAAGCAGAAUUCUAAUCAUUUUACAACUACAGACACAUUUAAUUAUCCUUACAGCCGUGAGAGGGAGAUAUUACAUCUCCCGUGCAUUACAGAUGAGGAACCUGCGGCCCAGGUGGCCCCUGGCUACCUGGAGUCUGUGUGGUGCUCUUGGUCUGUGCUGCUCGGUGGACAGUGGCAGCGCUGAUGAAAGUCCUUCCCCUGUGUGUGUUCUGUCCCUGGGUUCUUACCACGGGAAUGCCUGACUCAUCGAAAAAGUAGAGAGCUUCAAAAUCUGAACCUUGGGGUUGUAGGAGCCUGUGCUUACAUGGCACAGGCCUGUAAUCCCAGCAUUCUGGGAGGCUGAGGCAAGACGAUCACAAGUUUGAGCCCAUCCUGGGCAGUUUAGCAAGACCUUGUCUCAAAAGUUAAAAAAGGGGAAGGGACAUAGCUCAGUAUAAAGAUCCUGAGUUUGUUCCUCAAUACCACGAACAAAAAGAAGGCUUUUGAGUUUGAAAGGGAGAGCCUCAGGGUCUCUAGCCACAGAGUGGAUGACCUUGCCAAAAAGGCUGGGGACAGAGCAAGGCCCAGAGCCAUACGCCAGGACUGGCCGAAGGGCAGGAGCUCUGGUGGAGGCUGCGGAGGAGAAGAGAUGGAGGCAGGGUCGUUACCACGUGAACCAAGCUCGAGGUUCCACGAACACGGAGUGAAGUCUUGAACCAAAGGAGGAAGUUAUGAGAGUUUUUAUUAGACAUAAUAACAAGAGAGAGCUCCUGAUCGGGGUCUGUCAUCAGUGAAUUUCCAGGCAAAGCUCUCUGUGCUGAUGUAUAUGCCUAAGCAGAGUGCACAAAGAGGGUGGGAUUCAAAAACCCGAAAACUGUUUAGUGUUUCAGGUCUCUACAGGUCCUGGAAGACGUGAUUAAAGCCUAACAGGGUAUUCUGGAUACAGCUGUUUUCCUGUAGGAAAGAGACUCUCUUUAUUCUCAUCCCAAUCCUGUGUUUUUGUGUUUACCUUUAUGUCUCUAAAUUGGGCUUAGCUGCUUGGGCUACUUAUUUAUUUUACAUUUCAAAGCUUAAUUGGCUGCUUGCUUAACUUUUCCGUCUGACUUUAUCUUAGGCAUCUCCAGCUGCCUACUUAUAACUAUAUUAGGCUACUGCAGGUUGGGGGGCUCUGGAAAGUUGAGUGGGGGCCCAUUCUGGCUUCACGAGUGAAUAUGAGUUGGGUACAAGAUCAGGAGACAAGUGUGUCCAUUACUCAGCAGGCAGGACUUAACUUUAAAACUUGAGCCCCUGUGUGGUACCCAAGACCCUUCCUCUGUCUCCAGCAGCCCUGCAUGUGUGCCAGCUCAUGCCACCAAAAGGGUACAAGUUUCCUGGCGAAUGAAUGCUUCACAGUGACGAGUCACUUAGCAAGCACAGGUCAUGUAUCAUUUUAGAUAGGGAAGUAAACUUCAGGCCACAAUUAUCAUGCUAUUAUUGAAACCAAGUAGAGUAAAGAGAGGAAGAUGGCUCGGACAGUGGUACCUGGUUCACAAAUUUAAUUGAUUCCUCAGUUUUGAAAUAAAUGGCCGCCAUAGUGUUGGUGUAGGAAAGAUGGCCGCCAUUGUGUUUGUCACUCGAUGCAGAGUUCACAAACAAAAACGAAAUUCUGGCAAAUGCCUCUGUUUGCAAACCAAAUUGUUCAUAAACAAAAGCAUUUGUGAACUGAAGCGCCACUGUAUUAGAGAAGCAACCCUAAGAGAAUUCAAGAAGAAAUAUCUAUAGGAGAGGUUCAAUAAGCAGCCCUAGUAUCCAGGAGGUGGCAAGUAACUGAGACAGGCUUCUCACAGACCUGUGGGCCUUUAAAACCUAGAGGCCACACACUAAGCAAGUGCUCUAUCAGUGAGCUGCACCCCCAGCCCUGCUCAUGUUUCUCUGCCUGCUUCUGUACAGGGACACACAUAUACACAAGUACAUGUGACAUACGAAGCCUGUAUGGCCCCUGUGGAUUGUGCCAUUGUUAAGUGCAGGGCUGUGACAUUGUACGGUAGCUAUACAAGAUGCUACCCUUUGGGGAGGCUGGGAAAAGGCCACUUAGGGUCUUCUUAUAAUUGUUUUUUUACAAUUUUCUGUGAAACUGUAAUUACUUUGGAAUAAAUAUUUUAAACCCAUGUAA